RNAcentral lists this ribosomal RNA (482 nucleotides) under uncultured bacterium. Its description in RNAcentral is "partial 16S ribosomal RNA". It matches the Rfam family "Bacterial small subunit ribosomal RNA", at positions 30 to 507 of the family's 1533-position model. The record is from RNAcentral.
AUUGAACGCUGGCGGCAUGCCUUACACAUGCAAGUCGAACGGUAACGGGCCUUCGGGUGCCGACGAGUGGCGAACGGGUGCGUAAUACAUCGGAACGUGCCCGAUCGUGGGGGAUAACGAGGCGAAAGCUUUGCUAAUACCGCAUACGAUCUACGGAUGAAAGCAGGGGACCGCAAGGCCUUGCGCGGACGGAGCGGCCGAUGGCAGAUUAGGUAGUUGGUGGGGUAAAAGCUUACCAAGCCGACGAUCUGUAGCUGGUCUGAGAGGAUGAUCAGCCACACUGGGACUGAGACACGGCCCAGACUCCUACGGGAGGCAGCAGUGGGGAAUUUUGGACAAUGGGCGCAAGCCUGAUCCAGCCAUGCCGCGUGCAGGAUGAAGGCCUUCGGGUUGUAAACUGCUUUUGUACGGAACGAAAAGCCUUCUUUUAAUACAGGAGGGUCAUGACGGUACCGUAAGAAUAAGCACCGGCUAACUACGUG